GACGAACGCUGGCGGCGUGCUUAACACAUGCAAGUCGAACGGAAAGGCCCGGCAGUUGUGGGGUGCUCGUGUGGCGAACGGGCGGGUAACACGUGAGUAACCUGCCUUUGCCUUUGGGAUAACUACAGGAAACUGGGGACAACUCCGGACGGGUGCGCCCGCUGCACGGCGGGGGUGGGAAAGUUACGGCGGUUGGGGAUGGACGGCCGGCAUAGCAGCUGGUGGGUGGGGUAGUGGCGUACCAAGGCGUUGACGGGUAGCCGCCCUGAGAGGGUGACAGGCCACAGUGGGACUGGGGAAGCGGCCAGACUCCUACUGGAGGCAGCAGUGGGAAAUUGUGCGCGAUGGGCGGAAGCAGUAAGCACCAACGUCGCGUUCGGGAUGACUGUCUUCCGGUUGGAAACGGCUUCCGCCGGUUACGAAGCAGGAGUGACGGUAAUGGGUAAGGAAGCCACGGCUAACUACGUG
RNAcentral lists this ribosomal RNA (468 nucleotides) under uncultured bacterium. RNAcentral describes it as "partial 16S ribosomal RNA". It matches the Rfam family "Bacterial small subunit ribosomal RNA", at positions 28 to 507 of the family's 1533-position model. The record is from RNAcentral.